This is a small nucleolar RNA of Ochotona princeps (American pika), 129 nucleotides long. The record is from Ensembl. Lineage: Eukaryota; Metazoa; Chordata; Mammalia; Lagomorpha; Ochotonidae.
GGCCUGCCUCCCUUGGGGCUGUGGGGGUCCCUCUCCUCCCAGCCAGGGCUGGAGGCCGAGAGCAGCCUGCUGAGGCCAUCGUCGGGACUGCGCGAGCUGGGCAGCCCCCUUUUCCUACCUCACACAUCU